AAGAUUUUAAGUUAAUUAAACUAAUAGCCUUCAAAGCUUUAAAUAAAAAUUUUUUUUUUAAAUCUUA
RNAcentral lists this transfer RNA (67 nucleotides) under Tomostethus sp. 1 QHW-2022a. RNAcentral's name for it is "tRNA-Trp". The record is from RNAcentral. Lineage: Eukaryota; Metazoa; Arthropoda; Insecta; Hymenoptera; Tenthredinidae.